UACAGAGGUCUCAAGCGUUGUUCGGAUUCAUUGGGCGUAAAGAGCUCGUAGGCGGCUCGAAAAGUCGGCGGUGAAAACUCGGGACUCAACUCCGAGGCGCCCGUCGAUACUGUCGAGCUUGAGUCCGGUAGGGGAGUGUGGAAUUCCUGGUGUAGCGGUGAAAUGCGCAGAUAUCAGGAGGAACACCGAUGGCGAAGGCAGCACUCUGGGCCGGCACUGACGCUGAGGAGCGAAAGCUAGGGGAGCAAACAGG
This 253-nucleotide ribosomal RNA is filed under the name uncultured bacterium. RNAcentral describes it as "partial 16S ribosomal RNA". It matches the Rfam family "Bacterial small subunit ribosomal RNA", at positions 524 to 776 of the family's 1533-position model. The record is from RNAcentral.